This 253-nucleotide ribosomal RNA is filed under the name uncultured bacterium. RNAcentral describes it as "partial 16S ribosomal RNA". It matches the Rfam family "Bacterial small subunit ribosomal RNA", at positions 524 to 776 of the family's 1533-position model. The record is from RNAcentral.
UACGGAGGGUGCAAGCGUUAUCCGGAUUCACUGGGUUUAAAGGGUGCGUAGGAGGGCAGGUAAGUCAGUGGUGAAAUCCCCGAGCUUAACUUGGGAACUGCCGUUGAUACUAUCUGUCUUGAAUAUUGUGGAGGUGAGCGGAAUAUGUCAUGUAGCGGUGAAAUGCUUAGAUAUGACAUAGAACACCAAUUGCGAAGGCAGCUCGCUACACAUAUAUUGACUCUGAGGCACGAAAGCGUGGGGAUCGAACAGG